This 442-nucleotide ribosomal RNA is filed under the name uncultured bacterium. RNAcentral's name for it is "bacterial SSU rRNA". It matches the Rfam family "Bacterial small subunit ribosomal RNA", at positions 338 to 795 of the family's 1533-position model. The record is from RNAcentral.
CCUACGGGGGGCACCAGUGAGGAAUUUUCCACAAUGGGGGCAACCCUGAUGGAGCAACGCCGCGUGCAGGAGGACGCUUUUCGAAGUGUAAACUGCUCUUCUCUGGGAAGACACCCGACGGUACCAGAGGAACAAGCCCCGGCUAACUACGUGCCAGCAGCCGCGGUAAUACGUAGGGGACGAGCGUUGUCCGGAGUUACUGGGCGUAAAGCGCCCGCAGGCGGUCUGCCGCGUUCACUCUCACAGCUGCCGGCUCAACUAGCAGAGUGGGGUGAAGACGGGUCGACUUCGAGGACCAGAGAAGGACAUGGAACUCCGGGUGGAGUGGUGAAAUGCGUAGAGAUCCGGAAGAACACCAAAGGCGGAGGCAGUGUCCUGGCUGGUACCUGACGCCGGGGGGCGAAAGCCAGGGGAGCGAACGGGAUUAGAUACCCGUGUAGUC